Molecule: long non-coding RNA, 269 nt
Organism: Lineus longissimus
Lineage: Eukaryota; Metazoa; Nemertea; Pilidiophora; Heteronemertea; Lineidae
Exons: 3
Source: RefSeq, a predicted model, not a curated record
GAAUUUUUGUCUCUAUUUUUCACUGAUUUCGCGAUAUCUAAAUAUUUUGUGUCGUCAACAGGAUAUCAUUUAUAUUCGUCUAUUUCUCAUGUUGCUAUAUAGGUUGAGAUUGUGUAAAUCUUUCUUGUGGAAUGAGGAUAUUUUUAAUUCCAAUAAAGUUCUCAUUUGAUGGAAGUUGGCUUUGAUGUGAAGCAGCGAGGAUUGGUUCAAUUUGGAUUUAGCCAUCUUACGUGUCUCAUGUAGAAUAUCAAGCAUUACCUGAUACGUAA